RNAcentral lists this ribosomal RNA (586 nucleotides) under uncultured bacterium. RNAcentral describes it as "bacterial SSU rRNA". It matches the Rfam family "Bacterial small subunit ribosomal RNA", at positions 338 to 916 of the family's 1533-position model. The record is from RNAcentral.
CCUACGGGAGGCAGCAGUGGGGAAUUUUGGACAAUGGGCGAAAGCCUGAUCCAGCCAUGCCGCGUGCAGGAUGAAGGCCUUCGGGUUGUAAACUGCUUUUGCACGGAACGAAAAGGUCUUUUCUAAUAAAGAAGGCUCAUGACGGUACCGUAAGAAUAAGCACCGGCUAACUACGUGCCAGCAGCCGCGGUAAUACGUAGGGUGCGAGCGUUAAUCGGAAUUACUGGGCGUAAAGCGUGCGCAGGCGGUUAUAUAAGACAGUUGUGAAAUCCCCGGGCUCAACCUGGGAACUGCAUCUGUGACUGUAUAGCUAGAGUACGGUAGAGGGGGAUGGAAUUCCGCGUGUAGCAGUGAAAUGCGUAGAUAUGCGGAGGAACACCGAUGGCGAAGGCAAUCCCCUGGACCUGUACUGACGCUCAUGCACGAAAGCGUGGGGAGCAAACAGGAUUAGAUACCCUGGUAGUCCACGCCCUAAACGAUGUCAACUGGUUGUUGGGUCUUCACUGACUCAGUAACGAAGCUAACGCGUGAAGUUGACCGCCUGGGGAGUACGGCCGCAAGGUUGAAACUCAAAUGAAAUUGACGG